AAGAAGAAGAAGAAGAAGAAGAAGAAGAGUUAUUUCCCUUGGUGGCUGGCUGGCUGGGCUAAGUGACCUCGUACUUGGAAUCUCCCAGGUGGAAGAGGGGAAGACCACUAUCUUCCUGGGAAAACAUUCUGCUAGGAAAUUUCUUCCCGCCCCUUUGAGAAUAAGGGGUGAGGGUCUUACCUACCCUUUUGCCACAGUGAAGUUGUUGGGACUGAUUCCAUAUUUACUUAUAGCUGGUUUAAGAGACCAUAGGAUCAUUAGCCUCCCAAUUUCUUUUGUGUGUGUGUUUGUGUGUGGGGUGGCUUGGUUUUUGGAGACAGGAUUCUCUAUAUAACAGAGUCCUGGCUGUCCUCAAACUCACUUUGUUGGCCAAGCUGGCCUUGAACUCAGAGACCCAGUUGCCUCUGCCUCCUGAGUGCUGGGAUUACACCUGGCUCCAACAGUUUUCUUGAAUUUGAAUAGGAGCUUUAAUUUCCUAAAAGUCUUGUAACCAACCUAAGAGGAAGCCCUUCUGAGAGACACUUAAACCCCUUUGUCUAUCAAGCAAUUGAAACAAUGGAUCCCAAGGAACUGGUAUUUUUCCAGGAAUUUCGAGGUGGGAAGCAGGAAGGCGAAUCCUGGUGUUGGCCAGAGGAAAACUUGUUUCCGGGAAAGAGGUUUCACAUAUUUCUAAAGCCUGUUGUGUCAACCUUGCAGGUCAGACUGGAGCACAGGCCUUGUUGGGCCAGAUUAUCCCUUCCCAAUGGCCGUUUUGGUUUCUCUUUAAACCUAAAUCUCAUGUCAGUACCCCAAAGAUGAAUUUAGAGGGGGGCCUCCGAACUUCCUUUUCUCCCUGAUGUGACCCCAUUGAAUAAAUCUCCUUUCUCUGGUUUU
This is a long non-coding RNA of Myodes glareolus (Bank vole), 873 nucleotides long. RefSeq lists it as uncharacterized. NCBI's taxonomy places the organism in Eukaryota, Metazoa, Chordata, Mammalia, Rodentia, Cricetidae. The record is from RefSeq and is a predicted model, not a curated record.